Podarcis raffonei (Aeolian wall lizard) is the source of this 410-nucleotide long non-coding RNA. RefSeq lists it as uncharacterized. Lineage: Eukaryota; Metazoa; Chordata; Lepidosauria; Squamata; Lacertidae. The record is from RefSeq and is a predicted model, not a curated record. The transcript is spliced from 2 exons.
UGAAGGAGAGACUCCAUUUUACAUGAAGCAAGAUGACAGUGUUUUUGAAUCCACGGUGAACGCUGCCACGUUGAAUAGAGUGUCGGAGUGCUUCUUCUCUGAUUGAAAGAGAGAAAAGCUGCAGGAGAAGAGACAGCCUAGCAACUGCCUGCCAUUCCAAACAACUUUUGAAAGGUACCUAACAAAGGCAAAAACAGGGAAGCUUCUCAGCACUGGGAUCAAAUGUAGAGCUUUGGUGCCACGAGUCAAAAGCCUGUGAAUUCCUGCAGCCUCUACAGCUGUCAAGAUUCAGCCUUUCUAAUGCAGAUUUUGGUUUCAAGACUUAAUAAGCACAUCGCCUAAAAAUAAAUAAAUAAAGGCCUGCUGCUUCACCACAUUUGGGGGGGGCAGAGAGAGAGAUGCUCACUAUA